Molecule: ribosomal RNA, 554 nt
Filed under: Geastrum pusillipilosum
Lineage: Eukaryota; Fungi; Basidiomycota; Agaricomycetes; Geastrales; Geastraceae
Description: eukaryotic LSU rRNA
Source: RNAcentral
CAUUACUGAAGACACUAGGGUUUUGAGACUGCGUUCAAAAUGGGACGUGUGCUCGGCCCUUACUCUUUAUCCACAUACACCUCUGUGCACUAUGGGAUGUUAAAUCCCCUUUUUCACAUAAAAACCGAGUUAUAUGCAUGUUUAUUUUAUGCUCUACGGAGUAAUAUACAACUUUCAACAACGGAUCUCUUGGCUUUCGCAUCGAUGAAGAACGCAGCGAACGUGCGAAACGUAAUGUGAAUUGCAGAAUUCAGUGAAUCAUCGAAUCUUUGAACGCAUCUUGCGCUCCUUGGCAUUCCGAGGAGCAUGCCUGUUUGAGUGUCGUGAAAUACUCAAUUUCAAAUCUUUUUGUUUGAAAUUGGAKUUGGAUGUUGUUGUGGGUACACACAACUCGUCCUAAAUGUAUUAGCGAAUCUGCCUUGAUCACGCACAAUGUGAUAAGAAAAAAGCAUUGUCAGGUCGAGUCAAAGUUUGCUUCCAACUGUCGAAAGACAAAAUUCAUUUAUGUCAUUUGACCUCAAAUCAGGUAGGACUACCCGCUGAACUUAAGAUAU